RNAcentral lists this transfer RNA (66 nucleotides) under Brachynopus latus. RNAcentral's name for it is "tRNA-Asp". The record is from RNAcentral. Lineage: Eukaryota; Metazoa; Arthropoda; Insecta; Coleoptera; Staphylinidae.
AAAAAUUUAGUUAAUUCUCAUAACAUUAGUUUGUCAAACUAAAAUAAUUAAAUUUAAUAAUUUUUA